AGCUUGGACUACAGGAAGGAAUUAAGAUCUCGUUUCCUCACUGAAAUCCAGAAAGAAAAGAUUUUCUGCUGAAGAGAGGUACAAAGGAAUUGAAAGCCAACUAAGGUGGGCAUAAACAUCGAAAAAUCUGCUUCAACUUCAAAUGUGCAAACUGCUGGAGAAGCUACAACAUUAUAUUUUGCAUGCUUAUUCUUUAAAAUAUACUCGACAUUGCUGUAUAGAUUAUACAUUUAUCCAUAACAUUGUAUAAUUCAGAGUUACCCAUCUAGAGCAAAUAUAUCCUUUAUCUUAUGCAAUCAUGAUUUAAGAGAUUUUCACUGUGAUUCUUGUGACUUUUCCACAGUUGUUGAUUCUGCAAAGCCCUCAGAUAAAUCACAACUUAACCGUGUGUAUGUAUAAAGGUAGUUCUCCCCAUGACUUCGUUAUGUAAGAAUCAGCUAUAGCUCCUUUCUGACUUUAAAGACAGCAAGAACUUUUGAGCAUAUAAUUUUCAGUUGGCUAUAAAAAUAAUUUUUAAAAAUUGUGAAAGUAAUAGGAUAAUAUUUUAGAAAAUUGAGGAUAUAGAGAAAGAAAAAAAUACCACUCUAAUAAGUAAUGUUUUACCAUUUUCAAAAUAGUUCUUCCUGUUGUUUGUUGGAGCCUCUGAAGGGACUCCAUGUACAGAAACACCCCUCCCCACUUGGUUCUGAUCAAGUUAAUAAACUAAAACAAAAAAUAAGGCAGAGGAGGUCCAAAAAUUAUCUUUACUGUUGGGAUAAGGGCUCUUGGUCUGCCAUAUGGGUUGCUAAUAUUGAAUAUUGAUUGAACAUUGAAUAUUGCUAACAUUGAGUGUGCCAGCAAUACUAGCACAGUAGGCCUCUCUUUGAAGGGUCAGACUCCUGGAAUAUCAGAGGAACAUGAGUUCCCUGAAGCCAGGACAAUCCUAAGGGUGAAUUGAGUCAAACACCCUCAGUUAUUCUUUCCAAAUUUAGCAAUCAGUUAACCCAACUGACUCCACCUUUCUAGGGCCAGUGUAAAUAAAGGGAAGAGGGGAGGUUAAGAGGAGAGCUUAGAAGAAAAUCCUUUCCACAGAAAAUGGAAAUGGGAAAAGGUGUUUUGUUUUUAUGAGUUUUUAAAAAACAAACAGAAGAACAUAUUUCUACACUCAUAUAAAGAGAACAAAGCAAGAGUUUCAAUGGAGUCACGAUUGUUGUCAUAUGAAGACAAGUGUGUAAAAAAAAGAGUUCACACAGCAGGUUUGGGACUGCUAGUCUUAGAAAUGCCUGCUUGAAAGAUUGGCCUUUGGAUGGCAUCUGGAAAUUCGGGUUUCGAGAGGGUUUUCAUCAUGACCAGAACUGAUAAGAGAAGCUCACUGUGCGUAAAUUGUUCAAACAAUAUGAAUUAUGUGGAACUCUUGCUUUCCUUCUGGGAGUUCGGAAUUUUGAUAUAUGUUAAGCAGAGAGUGCCUACACAACCGGCCCCCAAUAAAAAUCUUGAGAAGUGAAUCUCUAACGAUCUUCCUUUAACUUAUUGCUGGGAUAAUAAGUGUGUCCCAUAGGAAUCCACUGGAAGAGGGCUCUUGGAAGCUUGUGUGUGGCCUCCUCUGGACUUUGCCCCAUGGGACUUUUCCUCUGCUGAUUUUGCUUUAGGCCCUUUUGCUGUAAUAGCUCUUCACUGUGACUUUAUACGAGGACCUUUGAGGCUUCCUAGAGUAUCACUGAACUGGGAGGUGUUCUUUGAGCCCUCCAAAACAACAUGGAUAGUGUGGUUUCUAUUGUUCCUUCAGUUCCCAGUGUUAAAUCAAGUUUAGCCUAAAGCUGCCUCCUUACGUAUGUUAAGUUCGGCCUAAAGGUUUUUCUGUACACUGUGAACUAUAACCUAAAUGGAACUGUAAACAGACCAGGCUCACCUGGUCAGUAUUGUACCAUAGUUGGACCUGCAUCUACUGCAGCUCCUGCUUUAUUCUCCUUCAGCCUCCCCAACUCCUGGACCAGACGUGUAUUUCACUUUAUGAUGAAAAAACACUGGUCUUCCCUGCAGGACACACCCAUCAUCAAAGUUGGAGACUUGGAAGUGGUGAGAAAUAAGGGAAGGUUCCAAUCCAUCUUUCAUGAGUUUCAGCUCAGCCUCAGAGGUAUUGGAAGAGGCAAUCCACCAUGCGCUGUGAGCAUGCCUUUGUGUUCUUGUUGAAUGUGCCAAGAAUUUAAGCCUCCUUUUAUUUGGUCAUUUCUCAAGGUUGUGUUUAUAGCAAGAAUGCUGAAGAUGACGUAUCUCCCACUGUGACAAAGAACAAACUACUUACUGCUUAUUACAGAAGUAAUGGAUUCUCCAAACUCAGUGUUUCUCAGCUGUGAUACAGAUAUGCUGCAUGUGCAGUAUCCAUCUGAGAUUUUCUGUAAAGCCCCUGUGGGACUUGGGGAGCAAAGGGGACUAUGACAAGCAUGAUGUUCAUGCCAUUUGCUGUAUUGUGAGUAACAAAGUACUUCAUCUGUGAUCCAGGUGUCUUAUGUCUUCUGCCAACAUUCAUAAAACAAUAGAAGGUGAAUCUUUCAGCUUGCAAGUAGGGGAAUAUCCUAGCCUGACAGCAGGUUCCUGUUUGCCCUUGCUCUUUCCUCUUUGUGUCCAUCUUUCUUUCCCAACUGCCCCACCCUGUGGACUUAAGGCACUAGAUACAGAGACAAAGGAGUCACAUAGAUUGUUUAACUAGAUCCUACAACUGGGUAGGGAAAAAUUCCCAUAGUAAAUGCAUUUUAUGUAUAUUUCCUAGUGGAUUUGCUUCUCUGACCAAACCGUGACUAUUAUAGCUCCCCUCACAACCAACCUAAUCCAUUUUCUGAGAUUCCAUAUUGUUGCAAGUUCUGUAUAAACAUCAUCUUUAAUGGCAGAAGAAUAUUUCAUAUUGAGUAGAUUAGACAUACUUUAUUUAUUUAAACUUUUGACACAAAAAUAUUUGUUCAGUCUAAUUAAUCCAAGAGGAAAAGAGAUUUGUGAAAUAGAAUUAAACUUUGAAAAUAAUCUUCCCUUUAUGCAGUACUGAUUUUAUGUUAAGUAUUGGAGGAGGCCGGGCACGGUG
RNAcentral lists this long non-coding RNA (3052 nucleotides) under Homo sapiens (human). RNAcentral describes it as "HSALNT0321814". Lineage: Eukaryota; Metazoa; Chordata; Mammalia; Primates; Hominidae. The record is from RNAcentral.